Molecule: RNA transcript, 1298 nt
Organism: Rhodamnia argentea
Lineage: Eukaryota; Viridiplantae; Streptophyta; Magnoliopsida; Myrtales; Myrtaceae
Gene name: prolyl-tRNA synthetase associated domain-containing protein 1
Exons: 13
Source: RefSeq, a predicted model, not a curated record
CAUCGUUCUCCGUAACCUAUCUCACUCCUCGCCGUUCUCACGUUCUUCCUCCCUCCCGCCCUGCGACCUGCUAGUGCUCGAUCGAGAGAGAGAGGGCGACGGCGACGGCGAUCAGCCAUGGGCUACACGAAGGACCAGUUGCUCGCUCGUUUACAGGAGCUUCAGAUCGAGUUCUCAAAGUAUGAGCAUCCCGUCGUUUUGACUGUUGAAGCUCAGGAAAAAUAUGUUGGAAAUGUUGGUGCUUCACUCAGUAAGAACUUGUUCUUGAAGGACAAGAAACAAAGGUUCUACAUUGUCUCCGCUCUUGCAGAUACUAAAGCAGAUCUGAAAGUUCUGUCACAACGGCUUGGUUUGGGGAAAGGAGGUUUGAGAAUGGCACCGGAAGAAGCAUUAGGUGAGAUACUUCAGGUGCCUCUUGGUUGUGUGACUCCUUUUGCCUUAGUAAAUGAAUCGGCAAGACAUGUCUCGUUGCUGCUUGAUCAGGGAUUCAAGUCCCAACAGAGAUGCCUCUUUCAUCCGCUGUCAAAUGACAUAUCAAUAUCUCUUAAUACCUUCAGUCUUGACACAUUUCUGAAAUCAAUUGGAAGAGAUCCCUCAUAUGUUGAUCUUGAGGCUAACCCCAAAGUAGGCAAGGAUCAGCCACCCGAUUUGGCUGCUCUUGUUCCGUCUGACUCCAUUGUCUUGCCAGAACUUGCUGAAGCAGCACUUCCAUCAGAACAUUCCAAUGAGAAUCAUGCUGCAAUAGAUGCUAAGCCGAAGGCAGUUAAAGCCAAGGCUGUAAAGACACCUGCUGCUGCUGAAAAGGUCAAGGAUAAAUCUUCUACAGGAUUGCUUCCAUCCGUCUCCUUCACCGAUGCAGGGCAGUUUGUGGAAGAAAUUCUAGAUAGGACGUCAGCUAUAUUGCUUUCAGAGAUUCGGGAAGACACUCUUAAGCAACAUGGAGAACAUUUGGGAGCAGUGGUUUCGGAGACCAUCAGAAAGCGUCUGAGCUCUGAGUUGAAAAACCUCGCUAUUAUGUUCAAGAAUACUGCUUACACGGAAGGUUUUCAUGCCGGUACUCGUCACCAACCAAAGCGUCCGUGAGCUCAUCAGUUAGUCACUUUGAUGGUUUCCAGUCUUCGUUGACAUUGAAAUGUCAUUACCCCGAUGGUCACGAAAUGUAUGGCCGAUAAUGCAGCCUGAAAGAAUUAUUGCAUCGUGAAAGAUGUAGCAAGGUGGCUCACACAAGCAAUCAUGGCAUUUUGUGAGCUAAUCUUGUUUCCGUUGAUCUACACUGGGAUUGCAAUGUGUUCGAAUGA